MicroRNA precursor from Homo sapiens (human), 93 nucleotides. Lineage: Eukaryota; Metazoa; Chordata; Mammalia; Primates; Hominidae. The record is from Ensembl.
UAAGUGUAAACUUAAGGACUGUCUUUUCUAAGCCUGUGCCUUGCCUUUCCUUUGGCACAGGCUUAGAAAAGACAGUCUUUAAGUUUACACUUC